This 73-nucleotide transfer RNA is filed under the name Camelus dromedarius (Arabian camel). It matches the Rfam family "tRNA". From Rfam's summary of the family: Transfer RNA (tRNA) molecules are approximately 80 nucleotides in length. Their secondary structure includes four short double-helical elements and three loops (D, anti-codon, and T loops). Further hydrogen bonds mediate the characteristic L-shaped molecular structure. tRNAs have two regions of fundamental functional importance: the anti-codon, which is responsible for specific mRNA codon recognition, and the 3' end, to which the tRNAs corresponding amino acid is attached (by aminoacyl-tRNA synthetases). tRNAs cope with the degeneracy of the genetic code in two manners: having more than one tRNA (with a specific anti-codon) for a particular amino acid; and 'wobble' base-pairing, i.e. permitting non-standard base-pairing at the 3rd anti-codon position. RNAcentral also lists the same sequence under 1 other name. Lineage: Eukaryota; Metazoa; Chordata; Mammalia; Artiodactyla; Camelidae. The record is from Rfam by way of RNAcentral.
GAGGGUACAGCUCAAGUGGUAGAGCACAUGCUUAGCAUGCACGAGGUCCUGGGUUUAAGUCCCAGUACUUCCA